RNAcentral lists this ribosomal RNA (465 nucleotides) under uncultured bacterium. RNAcentral's name for it is "partial 16S ribosomal RNA". It matches the Rfam family "Bacterial small subunit ribosomal RNA", at positions 28 to 507 of the family's 1533-position model. The record is from RNAcentral.
GACGAACGCUGGCGGCGUGCUUAACACAUGCAAGUCGAACGGAAAGGCCCUGCUUGCAGGGUACUCGAGUGGCGAACGGGUGAGUAACACGUGGGUGAUCUGCCCUGCACUUCGGGAUAAGCCUGGGAAACUGGGUCUAAUACCGGAUAGGAGCCAUUUUUAGUGUGAUGGUUGGAAAGUUUUUUCGGUGUAGGAUGAGCUCGCGGCCUAUCAGCUUGUUGGUGGGGUAAUGGCCUACCAAGGCGGCGACGGGUAGCCGGCCUGAGAGGGUGGACGGCCACAUUGGGACUGAGAUACGGCCCAGACUCCUACGGGAGGCAGCAGUGGGGAAGAUUGCACAAGGGGCGCAAGCCUGAUGCAGCGACGCCGCGGGGGGGAUGACGGCCUUCGGGUUGUAAACUCCUUUCGCUAGGGACGAAGCUUUUUGUGACGGUACCUAGAGAAGAAGCACCGGCUAACUACGUG